CUGGCAGAAAAUGAAUUCGCAUAUAUAUGUAUAUAUGGGGGCGGGGGAGUGCAAGGCUGUGGGAAACACUGCAACCCGUCAAAAUAAAUAAUAAAUGUUCAUUUUUACAUAAAGGCAUUGUGCUAGAAAUAUUACUAUUAUUUAGUAGAAUGUAUGUGAUACUGCUACUACUGUUGAAAAAAUUAAUAAAACUUAAUUUUUUAAAGAAAUAAAUCACACAAUAUUUCUUCCAUGUUUUAAUUUUAAUAGCAAAUCCCCUUUAUUUAACAAAAAAUAAAAUAUGUUUAAAUUUCAUUAAUUAAAAGACAAAUUAAAUUUGGGUGAAACUUGUUUACUGUUUUCCAUAAUUAUAAUACUUGUAGAAAAACUUUAAACACAAUUGUAAAUAAGUUUAAAGUAUGGCAUUGGUUUUAUUUUUAGUGAUAAAAAGUUUUUUUUUUUUUUUUUUAAUUAGCAUAUUUUUGUGUUUUGCUUUGGUACCGAAAUUGGUACCGAGAACCGUGGAUUUUCACUGGUAUCGGUACCGAAUACUGAAAUUUUGGUACCGUGACAACACUAGUCUAUGGUCUACAACUGUUGAUGAGCUAACGUUAACAUACACUGUUGCUAGGUUACUUCAGACCGUUAGCUAGCUAACCUAAACAUUUAAUGUUGCCUAGAACAUUCUGUGUCCACUUUAAACAGCAGCGUUUUCUGUCAGCAAUGUAUGACAAGCAGACUCUGGCUGCUGUUAUAGUGUUAUGGUUAUGUGGUGAGCCUGAGUAUAGUUUUACACAUCAGCCCAGUCUAGUCUGUAAAGUUAUUGAUACGCAGUCGGGUUUUUUUUUUACACAUUAAUCUGAAAAUGAAUGUGGCAUACCCAGUUUUUAAAAUGUACAUCCAGAGACUCUUUUCUGGCUAUGUGGACUCAAUAUGAUCAUAACUCAGUUGUUUUCAUAUCAGAGCACAGAUGAGGUGGAGCUGCUUCAGAACAGAGAGGGUGAGAUAGGGAAAAGCAGCAGCAGCACAACGUUACAGGUAGGUUAUGUGCUGUAUGAAAGGCCAGGUGAUUUUGAUUUGUUGGUGAUAAAAGGGAAGAAGUGUACAUGAUAAAUAGUGAAUACAGUUUGAAUAUUAUCAAAUUAAAUGUUCUUCUUGUAGGAGCCAAAUUGCGUGUUGUUAUUUGUUUAGAAUAUUUUUUUAACAUGGUCACAUCAUCACAUGGGUGUGGUUUCAUAUUAUUUACCUGCUCACUUGUGUGGUGGGAGAGAAACAGAAUCAGGCCCUGAUAUUUUUCUGUUGACUGUUAUAAUAUAGUUUCAGUUGUGAUGAACUUUUGUUUAUUUUUUUUAUGCCAUGCUUUCAUAUCAGAGAACAGAUGAGGUGAAGCUGCUUAAAGACAGGGAGGGUGAGACAGGGAGAAGUAGCUCAGAGUUGCAGGUAUGUGCUGUGUAAAGGGUCAGGUAAUUAAUUUUAAUUAUGUCAUGUUAGAAACAGGCUAGCACAUUUUCAUAUUUCAUAGGUGAGACAGGGAACAGGCGCAAGCGAAGAAGUGCAGGUAGGCAGGCAGGAUGCUGAACCCAACCAUGCUAACCCAAAGCUCAUUGCAGUGCAGCAGAAUUUAUCAUUAUAAACAACUUAAUUAUUUCCUGGAUCACCA
This is a long non-coding RNA of Cyprinus carpio carpio, 1639 nucleotides long. Lineage: Eukaryota; Metazoa; Chordata; Actinopteri; Cypriniformes; Cyprinidae. The record is from Ensembl.